UCUAUUAUGGCAGAUAAGUGCGGUGGAUUUAAGCCCCAUAUAUAAAGUCAAUUAACUUUUUUUAGAA
Molecule: transfer RNA, 67 nt
Filed under: Balta sp. Cairns, Australia
Lineage: Eukaryota; Metazoa; Arthropoda; Insecta; Blattodea; Pseudophyllodromiidae
Description: tRNA-Leu
Source: RNAcentral